AGCAGCCGCGGUAAUUCCAGCUCCAAUAGCGUAUAUUAAAGUUGUUGCAGUUAAAAAGCUCGUAGUUGAAUUUCGGGAUUAGUAGGUUGGUCGUGCCUCUGGUAUGUACUCGCCUUACUGGUUCCUCCUUCUUGAAGAACUGUAAUGCCAUUAAUUUGGUGUUGCAGGGAAACAGGACUGUUACUUUGAAAAAAUUAGAGUGUUUAAAGCAGGCCAUUGCCUGAAUACAUUAGCAUGGAAUAAUGAAAUAGGACGUUGAUCCUAUUUUGUUGGUUUCUAGGAUUGACGUAAUGAUUAAUAGGGAUAGUUGGGGGCAUUAGUAUUCAAUUGUCAGAGGUGAAAUUCUUGGAUUUAUUGAAGACUAACUACUGCGAAAGCAUUUGCCAAGGAUGUUUUCAUUAAUCAAGAACGAAAGUUAGGGGAUCGAAGACGAUCAGAUACCGUCGUAGUCUUAACCAUAAACUAUGCCGACUAGGAUCGGAUGAUGUU
This 489-nucleotide ribosomal RNA is filed under the name uncultured Glomus. RNAcentral describes it as "SSU rRNA". It matches the Rfam family "Eukaryotic small subunit ribosomal RNA", at positions 569 to 1064 of the family's 1831-position model. Lineage: Eukaryota; Fungi; Glomeromycota; Glomeromycetes; Glomerales; Glomeraceae. The record is from RNAcentral.